CCGGAUGUUCAACAAGUUUUUCAAAUUCAACGAUAUUCGAGCCAAAAUCCACAUAUGUCUUCCCAUACACUCUGUCCUUUGAGCUUUAUCCAACAAUGUAUGAACGCAUGCCCUCGGUUUUAUGACACAACACGACAACACAUAUGGGCUAUACAACUUGAUGAUUAUCAACCUGCAACACUAAGUGAACCAAUGAAUUAACAAGCAUGUAGAGCAACAAGAAG
RNAcentral lists this long non-coding RNA (224 nucleotides) under Hordeum vulgare. RNAcentral describes it as "long non-coding RNA (HVUL_LNC003086)". The record is from RNAcentral. Lineage: Eukaryota; Viridiplantae; Streptophyta; Magnoliopsida; Poales; Poaceae.